UCCCCCAGUAGUGGCGAAUGAAGCGGGAAAAGCUCAAGUUUGAAAUCUGGUAGGUAAAACUGUCCAGAGUUGUAAGCUGGAGAGGCGAUGUCCGACGCGGUCCAGGCUCAAUUUCCUUGGAACAGGAGGUCAUGGAGGGUGAGAACCCCGUACAUGGCUUGGGUACCGCCGUCCUUGUGACGCGUCCUCUAAGAGUCGGGUUGUUUGGGAAUGCAGCUCAAAAUGGGUGGUAAAUUUCAUCUAAAGCUAAAUAUUGGCGAGAGACCGAUAGCAAACAAGUAGAGUGAUCGAAAGAUGAAAAGUACUUUGAAAAGAGAGUGAAACAGUACGUGAAAUUGUUGAAAGGGAAGCGUUUGGCAUCAGCCCAUGGCGGUGGUCGAACAUCUGGGCUUCUGCCUAGUGCACUCGGCCGCCGUUGGGCCAGCGUCGGCUCUGCCUGCCGGAGAAAGGCCUUGGGGAAGUGGCUCUCUUCGGGGAGCGUUAUAACCCUUGGUGUCAUGCGGCUGGGCGGGGCCGAGGUCCGCGGUUUAUUCCUAGGACGCUGGCGUAAUGGUUCCAAGCGACCCGUCUUGAAACACGGACCAAGGAGUCUAACAUCUAUGCGAGUGUUUGGGUGUCAAGCCCGACCGCGCAAUGAAAGUGAAUGCAGGCGGGAGCCUCUAGGGGUGCACCGCCGACCGGUCCGGGGGUUUACCG
This 696-nucleotide ribosomal RNA is filed under the name uncultured Archaeorhizomycetes. RNAcentral's name for it is "eukaryotic LSU rRNA". It matches the Rfam family "Eukaryotic large subunit ribosomal RNA", at positions 76 to 783 of the family's 3401-position model. The record is from RNAcentral. Lineage: Eukaryota; Fungi; Ascomycota; Archaeorhizomycetes.